This 167-nucleotide ribosomal RNA is filed under the name uncultured bacterium. Its description in RNAcentral is "partial 16S ribosomal RNA". It matches the Rfam family "Bacterial small subunit ribosomal RNA", at positions 1334 to 1500 of the family's 1533-position model. The record is from RNAcentral.
GCUAGUAAUCGCGGAUCAGCAUGCCGCGGUGAAUACGUUCCCGGGCCUUGUACACACCGCCCGUCACACCAUGAGAGCCGGUAAUACCCGAAGCCCGUAGCCCAACCGCAAGGGGGGCGCGGUCGAAGGUAGGACUGGUAAUUGGGGUGAAGUCGUAACAAGGUACC